CCUACGGGGGGCUGCAGUGGGGAAUAUUGGACAAUGGGGGCAACCCUGAUCCAGCCAUGCCGCGUGUGUGAAGAAGGCCCUCGGGUUGUAAAGCACUUUCAGUGAGGAAGAACGCCUGGUGGUUAAUACCCAUCAGGAAAGACAUCACUCACAGAAGAAGCACCGGUUAACUCCGUGCCAGCAGCCGCGGUAAUACGGAGGGUGCGAGCGUUAAUCGGAAUUACUGGGCGUACAGCGCGCGUAGGUGGCUUGAUAAGCCGGUUGUGAAAGCCCCGGGCUCAACCUGGGAACGGCAUCCGGAACUGUCAAGCUAGAGUGCAGGAGAGGAAGGUAGAAUUCCCGGUGUAGCGGUGAAAUGCGUAGAGAUCGGGAGGAAUACCAGUGGCGAAGGCGGCCUUCUGGACUGACACUGACACUGAGGUGCGAAAGCGUGGGUAGCAAACAGGAUUAGAUACCCGGGUAGUC
This 465-nucleotide ribosomal RNA is filed under the name Vreelandella stevensii. RNAcentral's name for it is "partial 16S ribosomal RNA". It matches the Rfam family "Bacterial small subunit ribosomal RNA", at positions 338 to 795 of the family's 1533-position model. The record is from RNAcentral. Lineage: Bacteria; Pseudomonadati; Pseudomonadota; Gammaproteobacteria; Oceanospirillales; Halomonadaceae.